GAGUCAGAGCUCGGCAGGAAGUGGGACCGGUGCCUGGCGGAUGCGGUCGUGAAGAUAGAGAUGGGGUUUCACCAUGUUGCCCAGGCUGGUCUUGAACUCAGGGUCCAAAUGAUCCACCUACCUUGGCCUCCCAACGUGCCGGGAUUACAGGCCUGAGCCACCACACCUGGUCCAUCUUGAUAAUUUCAUACUCUGGCUUGGCAAAGACGGAAGGGAAGCCAUGGUGAAUGCACAGCAACUUCUGUGAGUCCUUCUCUGUUUGGUUGUCUUAUACCUAAAGUGUUUUGCUUCCAGGGUUCACCAGGGUUAUUUUCCCACCUGUUUGCUGUAAGAUGACUGUUAUAAUCACUUGUGUUUAGCAUAGGUGUUGUAUAGCUGAGUUAAAUAGCUUUCUUAAGCCUGUACUUUAGGCAGUGGUCCUUUAAAAAAGUAUUCUUCAAGGAUCUUUUCACCCUGAGGCUUGAAUAAUAUCUUAACAGAAAAUUAUCAUAUGAUUUUGUCCUGUAGGAAGAGACAUUUAUUUAUAAAUACCCUUGCCCCCGUUACUAUCUUAAGAAAAGCAGUUCUAGGCCAGGC
Molecule: small RNA, 576 nt
Filed under: Pongo abelii (Sumatran orangutan)
Lineage: Eukaryota; Metazoa; Chordata; Mammalia; Primates; Hominidae
Description: processed transcript
Source: RNAcentral